AACGAACGCUGGCGGCAGGCCUAACACAUGCAAGUCGAACGCCCUCUUCGGAGGGAGUGGCAGACGGGUGAGUAACGCGUGGGAAUUUACCUAAAGGUGGGGAACAACAGUUGGAAACGACUGCUAAUACCGCAUACGCCCUUCGGGGGAAAGAUUUAUCGCCUUUAGAUGAGCCCGCGUCUGAUUAGCUAGUUGGUAAGGUAAAAGCUUACCAAGGCUACGAUCAGUAGCUGGUCUGAGAGGAUGAUCAGCCACACUGGGACUGAGACACGGCCCAG
RNAcentral lists this ribosomal RNA (278 nucleotides) under uncultured bacterium. RNAcentral describes it as "partial 16S ribosomal RNA". It matches the Rfam family "Bacterial small subunit ribosomal RNA", at positions 29 to 334 of the family's 1533-position model. The record is from RNAcentral.